AUAAAGCAGAAGUUGCAUGUAACUUUAAGAAAAUACAAGAGACUGUGUCAUUAGUGAGCAUGAGAACAAGAAAGAGAUGACUGAAUUCGGGAGCAUUGAAAUGACUGUAUUUCUGAUUCUGAUGCUUCAGUUUACAACACCAACAACUCAUCUACUUCACUCCGUCUUUAUCGUCAUAGUUGGUGAUGACCUCACUUUGCCUUGUGAAAAUGUGACACAUGGUCAGGAUGACUGUAACAGUACUACCUGGGCCUUCAGUGGUUUGACAGACACAGCAGCAGUAGAGUUGGCCACUCAUGGGCAGAUUCACAAAGAUGUUAGAGCGAAGUCAGCCAGGUUGAGUGUUACAGCAGACUGUUCUCUGGUUAUAAACAAGGUCACAGUCGAGGAUGCUGGCCGUUACACGUGCAGACAAAUCAAAUCAGGAAAUGAAGUUUCAGAGUUUGAUGUCUAUCUGUCCGUUAUUAACAGUGAGUAUUUCAUUCAUAAUGUUUUUCAGCUCAAACUGUGUGUGAAACUUUGCAAUAAUCAAUACUGUGAUUAAAUUAAAUGUUCUCUUAUCUUUUGUCUUCACCAGUGACUCAACAUGACAACGGUAAGGAGCUCAUCUUGAACUGCUCUGUGUUGGCAUAUAAACCUUGUGCAUACACAGUAGAGUGGCUCUAUGAGGGUGAAGCGAACAUCUAUACAGACAUGAAGAUAUUACCAGGUUCCUGCUCUUCAGCAGUGACAUUUAAAUCUCACCUUAAUCAGAAGUCAAAGUUUUAUGAGUCUCUGAAGUGCAAUGUGACAGAUGAGUCCAGUAACAAAGUGAAGCUGUUUCCCUUCAGCUCUCAGUUGUCAGAUGAGAAUGCAAUGACAACAAAAAAAUCCACAGCAGCAAAAAAGUUAAUGGUGACACCAAAUCCAGCACCGGAGGAAGAAUCAUCAAAAAACAGUUGGUCAUGGGAGCAUAUUAUAUUUCCUGCUUUAGUAGCAGUCUUAGUUACUGCUGUGGUGAUGAUCACAAGGAAGAAAACUAGAGGGAACAUGGAAAUGGACGGACAGAACAAUACUGAACCUGAAGAUGACAUUUCCUUGGCUUCCAUCAGCUACACCAAGAACACCAGAGAAGAAGGCACAGUAAGCUUUGUGAUGGGUUACAGUGAGGAUGUUAAUAUCCAGAGUUCUGUUAUUAUUGUCGUUGUUGUUAUUGUUAUUAUUAUUGUUUAAGUAUUAUUAAGUAUAGAAUUAUUUUUUUUCUAAGUUCUAGGUUGUGAUGAUAAAGGUGACAGUGUGACCUACAGCUGUGAAAGCCUUCCCGUUUUAAUCCUCGCAACGUCUCCUCCACAGUCAACAAAUCAAAUAAAUAAAUCCAGUCAUGUUCACUCAGCAUAUUUAAAAAUAAAAAUGUUGUUAAUGUUGCCUGAUUGUUUAGUUAUCAAUGAUGUAGAUCUAAAUUAAAGGAGGUAGUGCUAUUAUUAAGUAGUAAAACAAUGAUUUGUAACAACCUCACAAUUGUCUUUAGUUAUCUCAGUGUUAUAUUAUGUAGUCUUUCUUUAAUGCAACUUUUGAAGGAUAAUUAUGUUUUUUUCUACACUCAAUAAUGAAAACACAUCCUGCUUUAGCGUUGAUAGAGCAAAGCAGUUGCAAAUCACUUCUCACUGUAUCAGCUCCAACGGUUAAUUUCACUGCUUUGUUGGGUCUCCCUAUGGUUUAGCCAUCUCUUCCUUGUUGAGGCGAGGGAUUGACUUGCUGCAAACCAAAAAAAACUGUUGUUACAAAUCAUUUUACAGCACCAGAAACAUACUGAUUAAUGUGUUAACCAUGUGUUAUUAUGUGUUUAACUGUUCAUCAUCGUCACUGUGUUGCAUUGUGAGAAGUCAAACUGCUGAGGAGUUUGACUCUUUUGUGUGUCUGUUCAUGUACACAGUUAAACUCCAGAAUGUACUCUAAUAAACACAACCUCUGUUCUUUCACUAAUCACACAUUUGUAACUGUUAACCUAACAAUGAC
This 1995-nucleotide long non-coding RNA is filed under the name Oreochromis niloticus (Nile tilapia). RNAcentral describes it as "lncRNA (ENSONIG00000031094.1)". The record is from RNAcentral. Lineage: Eukaryota; Metazoa; Chordata; Actinopteri; Cichliformes; Cichlidae.